GCAUCCAUAGAGCAGUAGUUUAGCUCACUCCCCUCCCAUCUACCGGGCAAGGGAGAGACCCGGGUGCAAAUCCCGGUGGAUGCA
This is a non-coding RNA of Hypoxylon sp. CO27-5, 84 nucleotides long. The record is from the annotation of a GenBank genome assembly. Lineage: Eukaryota; Fungi; Ascomycota; Sordariomycetes; Xylariales; Hypoxylaceae.